CGGAAUAAGAUCUAUUUUGCUCUCUUUUCGAUUUCUUAUUUUUAUCGUUGUUAUUCUCGUGUUCUGAUUGCUUGACGUGUGGUAAUUAACAGAUAUCCGGGUCCUCUGGGAAACUAGGGUUUUCUUAGUUUCCUUAUUUAAACGGAAAUCGACAGUGCGAAUUUCGGUUCCCACAAUGGUACUUUUUAAAUCUUCUAGUACUAACCAUUAGUUAUGGGUUGAAUUUGGUCCCUUGAAUUAGCCUAUAAAUGAGGAGCCCCAAGCCAUAAGCUUGGGAAAUAUUUGCUUGCUAGAUGGAUCUUGGACAUCUUCUGCUAACUUUAGUGGAUGCGGAUGGGUGUGGAUGGAUGGGUCUGGGAAUGUGCAGCUUAUGGGGACAAGGAAUUUCACUCGGCGGGAAUCAGCUUUGCACUCGGAAGUAGAGGCACUGCGAUGGGCGAUGGAGAAUAUGCUGCAACAUUCGAACUGCCAGAGCUUCGGGACAGAUUGUAAGGAACUGAUAGCAAUGGUGAAGGAACCUCAGGCGUGGCCAAGCUUUGCGACGGAAUUGGAGAGGAUAGAGACGCUACAGAUAUGCUUUCCGGAUUUUAAAAUCGCUCACGUCCCACGGGCACGUAACCAGACGGCUGAUUUUUUGGCUAAGACUGCUAGAUCCUUCCAUAGGGAGUUAUGUUUUAUUGGUUGUUCUAUUCCGGUUUGGUUACCCAGACCACCUCAAGUUUGAGUAAUAGAAUAGCCUUUCGACGUAAAAAAAAAAAAAAGAAUUAGCCUAUAAAUAAAAGAGGAGGUAAUGCAUGUAAUUUUGUUUGAUUUUCACUAUCACAUUGGUAUAAUCUACUAUGACUUUUUUUAGUCAACCAGAAUAUUUUAUUGAGACAUCAAAGAUACAAAGACAAAUACAUAGCCGGCGGAAAGAAGGUAUAUUCCCGGAAUCAAAGCUGGCGUAAGACCGAAUUUUCCUAGAGACUAAACUAAACUGUAACCAAACUUAAAGCCAUAAAAGUUUUGUCCCAGUCAUAAAACAACAAUGGAUCCAUAGAGAAAGACUUGGCGCUUACAAACAUAACAGGUUAAAGCUUUACACAUAAAGAGCAAAAUUUAACGAAGAGGCCCCUCCCCUGGUCAACCAUCGUUAACAAGCUCCUCUUAAAACCUACCUUUUGAUCCCAAGAAUCGAAGCUUCACUUCUGGCAAGACAGAACCUCUAGGUCUCCGAAAAGCGGUGGAGCCCACAAUCGCGACUAGAACACACCUAAAAUGAAGCUUGCAAAGAGAUCAUGAUCAUAGCUGAGAGGUAGAGUCAAGGAGCAAGCAAUCCAACCCGAAUAGUUUCGAAAAGAAACUGAACUAAACUUCAGAGCAAAGAAAAAACUGGCAUGCAUGAAGUACAAGGCCCCAAGAUCUAGCUUUAGAUCUUGGAUAAUAGAUCAAACCGAAGUCGUUAGCAGUAUAACCGCACCGAUGAUCCACCUGAAUCCGGUGACUCUGUCUUCUCUAUACCAAAAGCCAACUAGAUCUAGAGAUAGAAGUGAAUCCAAUCAAAAUCCAAACUUUAUGGUGAAAAAGGACAAAACCAGACUAGAAACUCAAAAUAAUGACAAGAGCAAUCCUACUCUGGCGCUUAAAGCUAUCGGAGUCAGAAACUGAAGAAAACUGCAAAGCAAAACUGCGAAGCUUAGAGAAGAGACAACGCCUCUCUUACCCCUAUCUCUUGAAGUCCAGUCUCUCCCUGCCGAUGGUUUCUCUCUUCCUCUCUGCAACUUUUCUUUUUCUGGUUUCUUCUUCUUUCUUCUUCAACAUCAAAUCCGAUAGUGAACUCUAAGAUUAGAUCCGGAAACCUGAAGAAGAAACAGAUUUGCGGUGCCUCACAAUUUAGGGUUUUUAUUGUCCUCAUGUUUUCGAUUUAGGGUUGUAAAUUAAGAUUUUGGGUUUUGUAUGAUUAGGGUUCUUAUUGUUCUCUAUAGAUCUGAGUUUUUUUUUUUUUUUUAUGAUUUAGGGAUUUUAUUGUUCUUGUUCCCCCUUUGCAAAAUAUGUUUUGUGUUUUUUAUUUAUUUUCUUCAGAUCUGAAUCCAGUAUAACUCGGUAUUACUAACUCAGUCGAAUUUGAUAUAACUAACUCAGUAGUACUUAGUAUUAUGCAGUAUAACCAGUAGAACUUAGUCGAACUCGGUAUAACUAACUAAGUAGUAGUACUAGUAGUAGUAGUAGUAGUAGUACUUAGUAGUCCUUAGUAGUACACAAUACAAUCGGUAUAACUCGGUAUAACUACACUCGGUAGUACUCAGUAUAACUAAUUAUAACCUAGUAUAACUACACUCAGUAGUACUAAGUAUAACUCAGUAUAACUCGGUAUAACUACAUUCAGUAGUACUCAGUAUAACUUAACAUCAAUAUUACCCAGUAGAACGAAGUAUAAUCCAGUACAACUAAAUAAAACUAUACAGUAUAAUGUAGUAUCCGAAAUUUGAAAAUUUAAAAAUUUAAAAAUUUGAAAUUUGAAUUUCGAAUUUUUUUAAUGAUUUAAAUUAAUAAUUUCAAAAAUGCAAAAGGGCAAAAUCGGAUAUUCAUAUUUCAUUAAAUCAAUGAGGGUAUAGGAGAUUUGAGAGUUCCAUAAGAGAUUGUCUCUACCACAAGUGGGGGCGUGGGAGAAGUUGGCUCCUUAGAGAAUAAGAGAGAAAGGGGGUGAUUUAGAAAAGAUGGGCCGUUAAACUAUCUACUAUGACUUUUUAAUAUUGUUUAAUAUUUUUUUAGUUUAAUAUACAAAGAAUUAGUGUGCAUAGAACAAAAGUAUGAGUGGACAAGGUUUCUUGUUACAAAAAUUAGUACAUAUACAUUCAUAGAAAGAGUGGGUGUUGUAAUUUAGUUUUCUCGGAGUAGUUUAAAUUUUCAAUGUAAUAUAAUCUUAAUUAAUAUUUAUAUCAUUUUAAAUAAAAAUCAAGAGAAAUUCACUAAAUUAUUAAUAAUGAAAAUGUAUAAUUGCAAAAAGAAAGAGGUAGAUGUACGAGUGCAUAAGCAUAAUAUAGAUAUACAGUCAAUUAUUUAUUUUAUUUUAAAUAAAUAUGAAAAGAAACCCAUGAAAUUAUUAAUAAUGAAAAUGUAUAAUUCGAAGAAAAAACUAAAGAAAGAUGUAGAGAAUGUGAAUGACCAUAAUAUAUAAUAAGUGUUUAGCGAUGGUCAUAUGAUCCAUCUCUUCUUCUUGGUGUCUUUCUCAUCAAUAACUUCAUCCACAGCACAUCUUCUGUUUCAUUUUUUCCUUUGUCAUGUUUUACAACCAAUACUUGAAUACGACAACCUUCUCCUUCUCCGUAUUUGAUGUUAUCUUCGAUCUCUGAUUUCUUUUGAUUCCUUUUCUUUAGUUGUUAUAUCCAAUAGUUUAAAAUUAUUAAAUAAAUAUUACUGUCAUCAUAUAUAAUAUGAAUGAUGGGUUUAUAAUAAACAUAACCUUUGUGGUGUACUAGUCGUUACAUUAUGACUAAUUUACGACAAAAUUUUAUCGUAGCGUAAUUACGUCUACAUUAUGAAGAUUUCAUAUUUCGUCGUUAGUUAGUCUAAAGACGACGUCAAAUUACGACGUCACAUUUGUAGUUGUAAUACGUGAUCGUUAUGACCAAGUUUUCUUGUAGUGUAUUGUUACGAAAAUCAAUAAUACAGUUAAAAGUGUAGAGUAAUUUUUUGAAAAUCGGACCGGAUACCGAUUCGGUAUAGCUUUUACGGCAAAUAACAUACAACUACAACAACAAAAAAUCAGACUAAAUUUUACAACUAAACUUCUACAUAUACAGUCAAGGCAAUCAUCCCAUAUAUGUUUUGUUUUGUUAUGUAAGAUUUAUGGUUUAGGUUACAAUUAUCCCAUUAUCUGAUAGUGCAAUAUUGAAUAUUGAGAUAUUUUAUCUUCCGUAACAAAAGAUGAAAAUAAUAUCAUAUCUUAUAGAAUCAUUAAGGUUGAUUAAUAGUAAUGCUUGAUGAUAUAAAUAUUUUAUGAUUUAGUAGUCCAAUAUAUGAGUAAAUAUUCGUAAAAAAUAUUUUAAUUCUUUGAAAUCGUUAGUUAUAUUAAACAUAGAAUGUAUGAAAUACUGAAAAAGGAAUGUAUAGGUUUUUUGGUUUAAAAUAAUUUUCUUACCAUAAUCUAGGAGUGACAUACUUGUAAUAAUGAAAGGAAAUCAAGAAGAUGUCAGAAAUGUCUUUUGUUUUAUUUAUGUUGAUUAUUAAUUUAAUUUAUAUAUUUUUAACUGACAAAAAUAAAUAUAUAUGCAAUACUGAACAAGGCAAAUAUUCAUAUUUUAGAGUUAAGGUUCCAGUACAUGACUUUUUUAUUAAAUUAAACUAAUAGUGAUUUUAUUUACUAGUUUUUAUUUAACCCGUUAAAUAAAUUUUACUUCAAAAAACAAGGUUUAUCUUGUCUUUAAUUACACCAUAGAAUGCAUAGAAUCAUAAAAAGACAUUAGAGUACGAUCCGCAUAGAUGUGCGGGUAUUUUUUCAUUUUACUAAUGUAUAACUUAAAUAUAUUAUAAUGAAUGUUUAAAUAUAUAAUUUACAUUUUAGUUUUAUUUAUUUUUAACUCUAUCAUAUUAUUGUGUACGUUUUUAAUUGAUAUUUUUAAUAUAUAAUAAUAUUUUAUAUGAAAUUAUGUACUACUAUAUUUUUGAAUUAUGCACAAUGAAUUGAUUAUCUAAAAUAAUCAAAUAAAGCAUCUCUUGCAAAAUAUGUUUAUUUUUUUCAAUUUCUACAGUUUGCAUACAGUCCAUUUUAAAAUUUUAUUAGUUUAGAAUAUUUUGUUUUGUGAAAAUAUGUUUUUAAAAGAGAUAUUUAUUUAAGAUGCUAUAGAAUAUCGAUUACGCAAUUAUUAUAAAUUAUAAUCAUAAAGUUGUAUUCUACAUAUAUGGAUAUAUAUAUAUGUAUAUUAUGGAGACAUAUUAUUUUAGUAAAAUUUAUUGAUAUAUGAUAUUUAUCAGAUGCUAUGGUAUUAAGUAUUCUGAUUUUUUGUUACUAAAUUAAGGUUAUAAAAUAUUGCAUCAUUUUUUUCUUUUAAAAACAUUUUUUCAUGUUGAAUUUCAAAAAAGUUAUACUUUUGCAUCUAUGAUUUUAUCUUAUGCAAAAUUUGGAAUAUUAUUAUUUUAAGUUUAAAAUAUUAAUUUUCGAAAUUAUAAAAUUGGUCAAGACCAUUUUGAAAAAUUACAAAACUAUUUUGAGUGUGGAAGAAUAUAAGAAUUUGGAUUUUGUUUUAGUAAAUCAAUGAAAUAUUUUAUAAAAUAUUGAAAUCUAAGUUAAAAUUUUAAAACAAUUUCGAACUUUUUUGUUAUAAUUAAAAAUAAACUUUAAAUUAUAGUUGAAAUAUUCAUAAUUAAAAUUGUAAUGAAUUAUUAAAAUUUCAAAGUUUUCUAACAGCAUAUUUUGUAAAUAACACAAGAACUAAAUUUUAGUAAUAUAUUAUGAUAUUUUGUGUGUAAUAAUGUUUAGAUAAUAUUUUAUUGUGAGUUUAAAAAUAAAUAAAAGUUUAAAAAUAAUAUAUAGUCUGGAUAUAAGAGUUUAAUAUAUGUUAACAUUAUUUUUUAUUAAAAUAUUACAUAGUUUAUGAAUUUUAAUCCCUUUUAACGAUGAAUGAUAUUUUAUUUAUUUAGUUUUUUGAAAGCAGUUUUUAAAAUAAAAUAAAAGAAAAUUUAGAAAGAAUAGCAUCUAAUUUUUUGUUUUAUAAUAAAAUUUACCUUAACAAUAAUUUAUAAUAAUAUUAUUAUAUCAUUAAUUACGAAUUUAAUUAAUGAGUUAUUUUAUAAAAAAACAUUUCAAAUUUUUAGUAAUUGUUUUGAGAUUUUUUUCAAUAAAUUUUUCUAUUAUAAAAAUAAAACAUAAAUUUAAGUUAAAAUACAUUUAUUAUUAUCCUUAUAAAUUAUUAAGAUUUUUAAAAAUGUUAUAUAUCUCAUUGAUUACUUUAAAUAAUCAAAUGGGUUAUAAUAUAUAAUUUAUAACAUAUUUUUAUAACAUAUGUUUCUAUUUAUAAAUUUAUAUCAUGUAUUUUGUGAUUUUGUUUAACAAUUGUUUUAUAUGUUUUGGAUGACCAAUAUAUAUACAAAAUGUUUAUAUUGUGAAAAUAAUUAUUUUGUUGAUAAAAACUUCAGUAAGAAAUUAAAUUAAAAAUGAUUUAAAAUAUAAUUUAAAUUUAGAAUGACUUGCAAUAUACUAUCAAUUAAAAAUAACUUGCAAUAUAAUUUAAAUUAAGAAUAUAUUCAAAUAUAAUGUAAAAUCAUACUUUGUAUGUUUAUGUUUGUUAAUUUGAAUGCCUUUGCAGAAAAAUAUAAUUAAAUUAUUGAUCUAAAUUAUAAUUUUUAGAAUAUAUAGAUUGUAUCUUAAUUAUAUACUAAAUUAAAUAAUUAUAGUUUUUAAAAUUAAAGAAGAAAAAAGCACUGAGAUUUUCUAAUUUCAAAGCGAAUGGGACGAACAAAUGUUAUACUCUCGUUUUUAGCCCCAACGAAACCAGAAAAGGAAAGAAUAAGGGGUUUAAACAAAGACAGUGAUAAUUAUUAUACGAUGGGCCUUAAGUUUGGUCAGUAUUUCUGAUUGGUUUAAAACGUCUUUUUCUCAUUUUUUUUCUUUUAACAUCUUUAACUUUAUUAAUAUCAAAUCAAUGUAACAGAUUACAUGAAACAUAAGAUACAUCAAACACGUUGUUGAAAAGAACUUUUAAUAGAGAUUGCUGUAAUACGAUACUUCCUAACACAUUCGUAGGAUAGACUGAUUCGCUAGCUUUUCUCCACCUUGUUCUUGGUCUUGCAAGAUCUUUUUUGUGGCUCUCAAUCUUUGUGAGUAAAUGCCUUUUUCUUCGAAGAAGAUCAUUGGAUCCGAUCCAUCUGUUACAUCGUAAUCCAUCCCAAACGUCUUUUUCUCAUUAGAUGAAUUUACAGGUGGUGAAAAUAAUUAAAAAUAUUUUUAAAAAAGAAAUGGCAUACCACUGUUAAUAAUUCAAAAAUCUGCUAUUAUAUAUGAGAGAGAGGGGACAACAUUUUUUCCCCAAAUCCGAAAAAUAAAAAUAUUUGAAGAACGCUCAACCUUCGUAGGUGUUUUUCGACUCUUCCAAACAUCGCAGAAACAGAUCCAAUUCAUUAACAUAGUAAGUGUUUGGAUCUCUCUCUCUCUCUCUCUCUCUCUCUCUCUCUCUCUCUCUCUCUCUUCUCUCUCUCUCUCUCUCUCUCUCUCUCUCUCUCUCUCUCUCUCUCUCUGUAAAUCAUGAAUGUCUUUGAGGAUCUUCGAUCGCAAUUUUGAUUUAGGGUUUCGUUCUCUUUAGAUUCAGAUCCCGAUUGGUUUGGGGUUUCUCGCUCUAUGUUAGGGUUUCUUAUGAAUCUUUCUUGUUCGAUUGAUUGUCUUGUUCCUUUAUAGUUCGAUCGCAAUUUUGAUUUAGGGUUUCGUUUUCUUUAGAUUCUGAUUCCGAUUGGUUUGGGGUUUCUCGCUCUAUGUUAGGGUUUCUUGUGAAUCUUUCUUGUUCGAUUGAUUGUCUUGUUCCUUUAUAGUUCGAUCGCAAUUUUGAUUUAGGGUUUCGUUUUCUUUAGAUUCUGAUUCCGAUUGGUUUGGGGUUUCUCGCUCUAUGUUAGGGUUUCUUGUGAAUCUUUCUUGUUCGAUUGAUUGUCUUGUUCCUUUAUAGUUCAAUCGCAAUUUUGAUUUAGGGUUUCGUUUUCUUUAGAUUCUGAUCCCGAUUGGUUUGGGGUUUCUCGCUCUAUGUUAGGGUUUCUUGUGAAUCUUUCUUGUUCGAUUGAUCGUCUUGUUUUAUACGGAUUGGAUCCUGAUUUGUUUAGUUUUUGGUACUAAACUCUGUAAGAAUCGAUAGAAAAAAACCAUGUUGUUUUCUCCUUGAUGUACGAGUGUUGUUUGUUUAACCUCUCAAAUUCUUAUUCUUGUAUUAUUAUGUCUCACAAGUCCUGUCGUUAGUUAGACAAUAAUGGUAAAGAGUUUAUGCUAUAGUUUCUAAGCUUGCAUCAUUAUUCCUUUUGUAGUUAUAUUUUAGGGUUCAUAAUUUGUGGUUAUGGUGUAUCUUACUACUGUUUCAGUUAUAGCCUCACACGAGAAGAAACGGUGUGACGAGAGUGAUGGAAGAGCUGAAAGGCGAAACAACAUACAAUGGGUUUUUACAGCAGCAUUCAGUGACUCCGUGUGAAACCUGUCAUUAAGGUAAAUUACUCUUUCUAUGCUCUACAGAUUCCCCAUCAGUUUUGAGAUGAUUUUGAAUUCAACAACAAGAAUAUUUCAAAAAGCCUUUUAAUUUGUUUUUUUUUCAAAACCCUAAGAUCGAUUUAUUCUGUUUUGUUUUGAUGUUGUGGUUUUCCACUUCAAAACCCCCAAAAAGAUCUUAGACAAACACUAAUCUAAUAGUGUUCUGUAAGAUUCUUAUCUUGGGAACAUUGUCCCUUUGCUGCCCCUAAAGGAAACUUAGUACCCACGGCUUAAAAAGGUCUUUUAAGACAAGAAGAGGCUUUACUAACCCACGGCUUAAGAAUUAAGGAUCUGUUUUUGAUUAUUUGGAUGGAAUGGAUUACAACAACCAAUGUCUUUAAGACAAAGGACUAAAAUCAAAAACAGAUUCUUAUUUUUUUUCUUACCUACGGCUUAAGAAGGAUCUGAUUUUGAUUAUUAUACCGACCGAUGGUUAAGAAAGUCUUUAAGACAAGAGACUUGAGAAAUCAAAAACAGAUCCUUAUUUGACUUACACCCACGGCUUUAUUGUCCCUUUGCUGCCCCUAGAGGAGACUUAUUACCCACGGCUUAAAAAAGUCUUUUAAGACAAGAAGAUACUUUACUAACCCACGGCUUAAAAAGGAUCUGUUUUUGAUUAUUAUACCGACCAAUGGUUAAGAAAGUCUUUAAGACAAGAGACUUGAGAAAUCAAAAACAGAUCCUUGUUCGACUUACACCCACGGCUUGAUUGUCCCUUAGCUGCCCCUAAAGGAAACUUUUUACCCACGGCUUAAAAAAGUCUUUUAAGACAAGAAGAGACUUUACUAACCCACGGCUUAAGAAGGAUCUGUUUUUGAUUAUUAUAACCACCAAUGGUUAAGAAAGUCUUUAAGACAAGAGACUUGAGAAAUCAAAAACAGAUCAUUGUUUGACUUACACCCACGGCUUGAUUGUCCCUUUGCUGUCCCUAAAGUAAACUUAUUACCCACGGCUUAAAAAGUCUUUUAAGACAAGAAGAGACUUUUUACUAACCCACGGCUUAAGAAUUAAGGAUCUGUUUUUGAUUAUUAUACUGACCAAUGGUUAAGAAAGUCUUUAAGAUAAGAGACUUGAGAAAUCAAAAACAGAUCCUUGUUUGACUUACACCCACGGCUUGAAUGUCCCUUAGCUGCCCCUAAAGGAAACUUAUUACCCACGGCUUAAAAAGUCUUUUAAGACAAGAAGAGACUUCUUACUAACCCACGGCUUAAGAAUUAAGGAUCUGUUUUUGAUUAUUAUACUGACCAAUGGUUAAGAAAGUCUUUAAGACAAGAGACUUGAGAAAUCAAAAACAGAUCCUUGUUUGACUUACACCCACGGCUUGAAUGUCCCUUAGCUGCCCCUAAAGGAAACUUAUUACCCACGGCUUAAAAAGUCUUUUAAGACAAGAAGAUACUUUACUAACCCACGGCUUAAGAAUUAAGGAUCUGUUUUUGAUUAUUAUACUGACCAAUGGUUAAGAAAGUCUUUAAGACAAGAGACUUGAGAAAUAAAAAACAGAUCCUUGUUUGACUUACACCCACGGCUUGAUUGUCCCUUAGCUGCCCCUAAAGGAAACUUAUUACCCACGGCUUAAAAAGUCCUUUAAGACAAGAAGAGACUUUACUAACCCACGGCUUAAAAAUUAAGGAUCUGUUUUUGAUUAUUAUACUGACCAAUGGUUAAGAAAGUGUUUAAGACAAGAGACUUGAGAAAUCAAAAACAGAUCCUUGUUUGACUUACACCCACGGCUUGAUUGUCCCUUAGCUUCCCCUAAAGGAAACUUAUUACCCACGGCUUAAAAAGUCUUUUAAGACAAGAAGAUACUUUACUAACCCACGGCUUAAAAAUUAAGGAUCUGUUUUUGAUUAUUAUACUGACCAAUGGUUAAGAAAGUCUUUAAGACAAGAGACUUGAGAAAUCAAAAACAGAUCCUUGUUUGACUUACACCCACGGCUUGAUUGUCCCUUAGCUGCCCCUAAAGGAAACUUAUUACCCACGGCUUAAAAAGUCUUUUAAGACAAGAAGAUACUUUACUAACCCACGGCUUAAGAAUUAAGGAUCUGUUUUUGAUUAUUAUACUGACCAAUGGUUAAGAAAGUCUUUAAGACAAGAGACUUGAGAAAUCAAAAACAGAUUCUUGUUUGACUUGCACCCACGGCUUGAUUGUCCAUUUGCUGCCCCUAAAGAAAACUUAUUACCCACGGCUUAAAAAAGUCUUUUAAGACAAGAAGAGACUUUAAUUACCCACGGGUUAAGAAGGAUCUGUUUUUGAUUAUUUGGAUGGAAUGUAUUACAACAACCAAUGUCUUUAAGACAAAAGACUAAAAUCAAAAACAGAUCCUUGUUUUACUUACCCACGGCUUGAGAAGAUCAUGUUUUUGAUUAUUUGAAUGGAAUGGAUUACAAUGACCAAUGGUUAAGAAAGUCUUUAAGACAAAAGACUAAAAUCAAAAACUGAUCCUUAAUUUACUUACCCACGGCUUAGAGAAAUCUCUUUGGAUGGAAUGGGAGUAUAACGAUCAAGGGUUUAAGAAAGUCUUUGAGACAAAAGACUUGAGAAAUCAAAAACAGAUCCUUAUUUUACUACUACCCAUGGCUUACAUAGACAAGACAUUUCGGUUACCCACAGCUUACAAGUCUUUAGACAAAGACAUAAGACAUGUCAUGUUAAUAGACCCACGGCUUAAAAGUCUUUACUACCCAUGACUUACAAGAGUCUAGACAAAGACUUCAUAUCAAAAACAACAGAUCCUUAUUUCACUGCCCACGGCUUACACAUAAGUCUUUAGACAAAGACGUACAAGGCAUGUCAGUUAAAAGAAGACCCACGGCUUAAAAGUCUUAGACAAAGAUGUAUAAGGCAUGUCAGUUAAAAACACCCACGGCUUACAUACAACUCUUUAGACAAAGACAUAUAAGACAUGUCAGUUUACUUUGGAUGGGAAUAACAAACCACGAGUAUAACAAACCAACAGUUUAAGAAAGUCUCAAGUCAAAGACUACACAUGGGUUUCAAAGACUUGUAGAAUGGUAUAAAAACCUACCCAUGAGUUGAUUUUAGAAUGCGGCUUAGAUAAACAAAAUGUGAACCGCGAGAACCAUUUGGAUGGGAAUAACACGACCAAAUGGUUAAAAAUUCUUUAAAUAUCCAGUCUAAAAACUAAUUAAUUUGAUUUUUUUUUCAGGUUUGUGCUUUAGGAGGUCUGAGGAGAUUGCCAGUGUAGCAGACUUCUGUGACAGGUAGUACAUCUCUUUGAAUUAGUUGAGUCUCACGUAGAGAUGUAUUUUUGAAAUUAUGUGAAACUUAUGUAGUUUAUAUGUCUGAGAAACUUUUUGUUUGUGUCAUCCACUAACCCUUCGUGAUCACAUAUGAUCACAUUCCUGUAAUUUUAUAAUUUAAUUUUGGUCGUUGUA
Long non-coding RNA from Brassica rapa (field mustard), 11593 nucleotides. RefSeq lists it as uncharacterized. The record is from RefSeq and is a predicted model, not a curated record. Lineage: Eukaryota; Viridiplantae; Streptophyta; Magnoliopsida; Brassicales; Brassicaceae.